GAUUGGAUAUGCCCAGGUGGGAUUAGCUAGUUGGUGAGGUAAUGGCUCACCAAGGCGACGAUCCCUAGCUGGUCUGAGAGGAUGAUCAGCCACACUGGAACUGAGACACGGUCCAGACUCCUACGGGAGGCAGCAGUGGGGAAUAUUGCAGAAUGCGGGAAACCCUGAUGCGGCCAUGCCGCGUGUGUGAAGAAGGCCUUCGGGUUGUAAAGCACUUUCAGCGAGGAGGAAAGGUCAGUAGCUAAUAUCUGCUGGGUGUGACGUUACUCGCAGAAGAAGCACCGGCUAACUCCGUGCCAGCAGCCGCGGUGAUACGGAGGGUGCCUGCGUUAAUCGUAAUUACUGAGCGUAAAGCGCACGCAUGGGGCUGGAUACGUUAGAUGUGAUAGCCCCUGGCUCAUGCUGGGAAUUGCAUUUAGAACUGUCCAGCUAGAGUCUUGUACAGAGGGGUAGAAUUCCAGGUGUAGCGGUGAAAUGCGUAUAGAUCUGGAGGAGUACCGGUGGCGAAUCUAGUCCCCUGUGCUCAGACUGAUGCUCAGCUGCGAAAAGCGUGGUGUGCAAAGGGGUUAGAUACCCUGCCAGUCUACGCCGUAAACGAUGUCGAUUUGACGCUGUGUCGUGAGUACGUGGCCUCCUGUAGCUAACUCGUUAUAUCGACCGUCUGGGGAAGUACGGCCGCAGGUCAAGCUCUUACGAAUUGACGGUGGCCCGCACAAGCGGUGCGAGCUUGUGCCUAAAUUCUGAUGAUAAGCGAUAACCCUUACUUGAUCUUUGACAUGG
RNAcentral lists this ribosomal RNA (780 nucleotides) under Aeromonas hydrophila. Its description in RNAcentral is "bacterial SSU rRNA". It matches the Rfam family "Bacterial small subunit ribosomal RNA", at positions 219 to 989 of the family's 1533-position model. The record is from RNAcentral. Lineage: Bacteria; Pseudomonadati; Pseudomonadota; Gammaproteobacteria; Aeromonadales; Aeromonadaceae.